RNAcentral lists this unclassified non-coding RNA (359 nucleotides) under soil metagenome. Its description in RNAcentral is "partial contains 5.8S ribosomal RNA, internal transcribed spacer 2, and large subunit ribosomal RNA". The stretch from base 1 to 120 matches the Rfam family "5.8S ribosomal RNA", at positions 35 to 154 of the family's 154-position model. The record is from RNAcentral.
GAUGAAGAACGCAGCGAAAUGCGAUAAGUAAUGUGAAUUGCAGAAUUCAGUGAAUCAUCGAAUCUUUGAACGCACAUUGCGCCCCCUGGUAUUCCGGGGGGCAUGCCUGUCCGAGCGUCAUUGCUGCCCAUCAAGCGCGGCUUGUGUGUUGGGCCGCCGUCCGCCUUCCCCCCCGGGGGGAGGGGGACGGGCCCGAAAGGCAGCGGCGGCACCGCGUCCGGUCCUCGAGCGUAUGGGGCUCUGUCACCCGCUCUGGAGGCCCGGCCGGCGCCCGCCGACCCCCAACCUUCUUCUAACCAGGUUGACCUCGGAUCAGGUAGGGAUACCCGCUGAACUUAAGCAUAUCAAUAAGCGGAGGA